Molecule: long non-coding RNA, 664 nt
Organism: Oncorhynchus tshawytscha (Chinook salmon)
Lineage: Eukaryota; Metazoa; Chordata; Actinopteri; Salmoniformes; Salmonidae
Exons: 6
Source: RefSeq, a predicted model, not a curated record
GACAGCUGUAGGUAUCUCCCCACCACUACAGCUGUAGGUAUCUCCUCACCACUAUAGUAGACAGCUGUAGGUAUCUCCUCACCACUAUAGUAGACAUCUGUAGGUAUCUCCUCACCACUAUAGUAGACAGCUGUAGGUACCUCCCCACCACUACAGCUGUAGGUAUCUCCUCACCACUAUAGUAGACAUCUGUAGGUAUCUCCUCACCACUAUAGUAGACAGCUGUAGGUACCUCCCCACCACUACAGCUGUAGGUAUCUCCUCACCACUAUAGUAGACAGCUGUAGGUAUCUCCUCACCACUAUAGUAGACAGCUGUAGGUAUCUCCUCACCACUAUAGUAGACAGCUGUAGGUAUCUCCUCACCACUAUAGUAGACAUCUGUAGGUAUCUCCUCACCACUAUAGUAGACAGCUGUAGGUACCUCCCCACCACUACAGCUGUAGGUAUCUCCUCACCACUAUAGUAGACAGCUGUAGGUAUCUCCCCACAACUACAGCUAUAGGUAUCUCCUCACCACUAUAGUAGAGUUGUUGGUAUCUCCUCACCACUAUAGUAGAGUUGUUGGUAUCUCCUCACCACUAUAGUAGACAGCUGUAGGUAUAUCCCCACCACUACAGCUGUAGGUAUCUCCCCACCACUAUAGUAGACAGCUGUAGGUAUCU